Acanthochromis polyacanthus (spiny chromis) is the source of this 2977-nucleotide long non-coding RNA. RefSeq lists it as uncharacterized. The record is from RefSeq and is a predicted model, not a curated record. The transcript has 2 exons. NCBI's taxonomy places the organism in Eukaryota, Metazoa, Chordata, Actinopteri, Pomacentridae.
UUUCCUGCCACUGGGUCUCUAACAGAGCACGGAGAGGUAUCAGGCAUCCACAGCCCCUUUCCACUCGGCUCUGGGGGUGUGUGUGGGUGGGGAGCUGUGUCUGGAUGUGUGUCUGUCCGUGGACGUGCACGGCUGUGGGCGCACGGCGGGAGCUGCAUGGAUCUGAUCUGUGGUGACUGGCCCCACUGACCUGUCCAGAGUUUAGACUCUGUCUGUUUAUUUCUGCUAUCAUUAUCUCUCCCUCCUUUUCCCUCACAUAUAGAGACAACCAAGCACACCUACGGACAAUUUUAGAGUUACCAAUUAACCUCAGCAUAUUUUUGGACUGUGGGAGGAAGCUGGAGUACCCGAAGAAAACCCAUGUGUGCACAGGAAGAGCCUGAAAACUCCACGCAGAAAGAACCCAGGAAGGCCGCAAUGCAAACCAGGGAUCUUCUAGCUACAAGGCGAAAGUGCUAACCACCAAUCCACUGUGCAGCGUUGAAAAUCUCUCAUAAUAUUCCUGAGUGAACAUCUGAAAGUGUCGCCUCACAGCCACAUUAUUCAGACCAGUUGCCCAUCACAUCGACAUCUGCUGUGUUACAAUUUCUCCAUUCAUUUCUUAAGCCAGAUCAAAACAAUAACAUUCAGCUUUCCUGAAUUUUGGCAAUGGUGGUAAUGUAUGUCUGUCAUUAAAUGCAGGUCCAACAAUCUAACCUCAAAAUGCAAAGGUUUGUGAAUGUUUGCAUUUCUUUGUGUUUCUGGCUGAUUCAAAGGUGCAAACAAGUCAAAUUAUACUGAGCUACACAAACUGGGCCUGGAAUCAAGUUUGUUUUGACUGCACCCUUUGGCUUUUGUGCUGGUGGAAUAACAAACCUGUGUGUAAUUUUUGUUCAAAAAAUGUCCUGGUUUAUUUGUAAAUUAACAGUGUAAGCCUGGAGGUGAAAAUGAAUCAAAUGAAAGAUAAUGGAAAAUGAGAAAAGGGAACUUUAGUUGAUGUUUGCUCUACUUCAUAAUCUACACUAAAUACAUUUUGGAACCACUUAGGCCAGGGUGUGGCAAAGCAUCGCACCACUCCAGACUGCCAUAAACCACAGAUGUUUUCUCAUUGUAAUUUGAACCCAUCCCAAGAGCUGCUCCCUGCUCCCACUACACAUCUUGUCUUAUAAAAUGUCAAACAGGAUUUGACUAUGUCUGUUAAGAAUUUAUGUGUCAUGGUACAGGAAUUUAUUCUGCUGUUUUACAUAAAUUGACAGUAUGUUAUAAAAUCUAGAAAUUAACUGCCAGAGUCUUGAGUCAGGAAGUUUGAGUCAAACUUUAGUGAAAAAUGCAGACUUGAGAACCAAUUUGUGAGUGUUUUAGAUUAGAUUUACUUUAGACUUCCCACAGAUCCAACCUGAAAGGCAGAAGUCGGUUAUUUCUGACAGCAGCAGGCAGGUCGUCUUGUAUUUCGUAACCUCUUGGCCUUUAACCCAGUUAAGAAAAUCGUUGACCAAAAGAACGGGCUCAGUGUUUUCUCCCUGAUUGUCACAUUUUGAGUAAUGUUGUCUCAGUGUUUGCCAUAAGACUUAUUAGCUAGUUUCAGCUUUAAAUUACGCAUAGCUUUUCCUUCAAUUCAUUCAUUUCAGCAGUUACACUGAGAAAUAGCAUGUUACUUUUAGUGCAAUGCUCACUGUAACACUUGUCCAUUGGCUGCAUGAUACACCUAGUGUUUGAUUGUUAUGUCCUGGCAGACUUUGCACGCACAGCCUACACUCUAUUGGUUGACCAGUGCUGGUUGACCGUACAGGUUUCCAUCCUCCCAUAAAAACUGACCCGAUAGAUCAUUUGUACAGCCUGCUUAUUACUACCUGUAGUUACAUUAUAUUGUGACAGCACCACCCUAGAGGAUGUAGUACUUAUGAUAGGAGCAAGGGAAAAAGUGAUGCGAUGCGGUUAUUCAAAUACAAGGUCAACACUAGAAAAGUACUCAGAGAGCGCAGUAUUCCGCCAAUAUAGAAUGUGGCAAUUUAAUAUAGAUGUACCCACAAACAAAAUGUCCUUGUGCUGAGCACAGUUGUGUGUUAUUCAUCUGUAUGUAAUGAAUAGAUAACAAAUAGCAUGACUUCAAUAUGUGGCGGGCGGCGGAAAUUGAGAGUACUCGGAAACACCCCCAUGAUGUAAUCAAAUGUUCCUUGUAUCGUUACUGAUGGAUAAGUCCUGAUAAGUCCGUAGCAGGUGAUUUGUAGCAGGAUCACAAUCAUGUGAUCAUCAGGCGCUAUCUCGCAAUGAUACAGAAAUCUUUAGCGAAUCCGUGGUUCCAGACUAUAAUCUGCAUCACUGAAAAAAAUGUAAUCACUCGGUCCUUGUGUCAUUUCUGACCUUCCCUGAAAAUUUCAUCCAAAUCCGUUGGUCUGUUUUUGAGUAAUGUUGUGAACAGACAAAGAGAUGGACAGACAGACGGACGAAUGUACACUGAUUGUCAUUCCUUGGCAGAGUACUAAGAAGGAAGUUGGGGGUGUUUCGAUGGGUCAACUAAAUAUUAGACUUUAACAUUGGAGAUCUCCGUAUGUUUGUCAGUGUUGCUUUUAUCCAUGGCUGUUCAAUAACCUUCACAGCAUGUUUAUUUGACAACAAAGAACUGCUGUUUGUUUCUUGUUUCAAACUGAAAGCUGACAUUUUUUUUAAAACCAUAACCACUGCAUAACCCUCAAUGCAGGUUAAAGAAUUUGUUCUUUUCUUUUGCAUAUGAACAAAUCUGGCUUUUAAAGGUUGUUGCAACAUUUUUUGGAGUUCUCGCAAACAAUGUCUAUACAUUUACUAACUGAUGGCAAAACAAAAAUAAUCAGAUUACCAUCUGCAUUUUGCACAAUCUUCCAAAUUUCCAGAAAAAUCUGCAAAAGAAUUGCCAGUUUAAGUGACUGUUGACUAACUUUAUGUGAAUUUAAAGAUCAGCAAUUACAGUUUUUGUCAGAUUCAGUGAAUGUCUUCUUGUGAUCCAUUAAAUGUAUUUUCUGUA